UUCAUCCUGGGGAUUCCAACGGAACCACCACUUCCGGAGAAGUUUCCUCUGCCCUCUUCCCUGCCCUGCCCUAGAGUGUUAGUCAGGCGAGGCCGGGCUAUGCUGCAGGAACAACCAACCUCGAAUCUCAGCAGGACAUCACCGCUAAGGUUCGUUUCUCAGUCAUGCCAAGAGUCCCCCGCAGAUCCAGGCAACCCCGCAGAACCCUGUGCCGCAACUCCAGGUUAUUCCCUGCUUGUGAUCACACGUUCUCCACACAUCUGCCUCAAGGGGGGAGUGAGAGCUGGAGAACCAUGGAGAACUGUAUGGGGUGGGGCGUCGUGUAUGCUCGCGUUUCAUUGGUCAGAACAAGUCACGUAACUCCAAAAUGCCCAGGCAGGAGAGGACUAGACACAGGUGAUCACUAGUCUUGUCUUCCACACCAGACCAGGUUUCCUUCUAAUUGUUCUCACAUCCACGUGUACCUUCCUUUUAUGUGUCGGGCUGUAGUGACAUACUGGUGUGAUUCCAUGAUGGACGGCCCUCCUUCCCCGAUCUCCAUUAGAGUAUAACUUCUGUGAGGCGGGAGCCAUGUCUACAUAACCUCAGCCUUCUCUACAGUGUCAUCGAAGCUUCGUCGUCCCUGUGGCUCUGACACUUUGUGAGAAGUCACUUGGGGGUGAGUUCUCAGGGGGGUGGUACGAGAAGGGUUUAAAAUUAGUCACAAUCGUCUGUGAUCUCAUCCGUUGGUUGAACUGCUGGGGAGGCAAGUUUCAUCAGAGGCCACGUCAAACCAUCUCUUCUCUCCGUCGUUCAACAUGAUUUUAUGAUAAACGGAGCUGUCGCACAGGGUGGUGAUCAGCCAUGUCACUAUCAUUGUCAGGUUCUCCCACCUCGGGACACGUGGCAGACCUCUACCUCUCACCUCCUGCCAAUGCAGCCAUGGACUUGCCUUGUCCAGUGGGAUGUGAGAAGAAGUGAUGUGUCAUAUGUUAUGACACAUGUGAUGCUCUGGGCAGAAAUUUUUCAUAGUCGUUGGGCAAUUCACCUUUUGCCUCCUUCUCCUGCCCCAGUAACUGGUAACCCUCCAGACAGGAGGCCUCAACGGCCCAGAUGCACGAAUGAGGAGUCUGAUGGACUCCUUCCCACUGGAUAACCUAUCCCGAAGGAUAACCUUCCCGCUGACCUCCAGGGGCCACGCAGCGUGAGGGAAACUAUGCUUCUGUUGUGUAUAGGCACUCAGGUUUUCAGUCGUUCGUUCCUGCAGUGUAGCCUAGCCCCUCCUGCCGGAAGUGAGUCCCAGUGUGGACAGCAGACCCCCUGGGAGGCGCUGCAGAGCACGUUCCAAGAGCAGGUUCUCUGGAAUCAGGCGGUCCUGGGUCUGAUCCCUGCUGUGCCUCUUCGAGGCUGAGCCCCUAGAGACAAGUUACUUAACAUCUCUGGGCCUCCUUUCCUUUCUCUGAAAAGUGAAGCCGGGACCCGUCUCACAGAGUCCUUUGCCAGGACCGGGUGAGAAAAUAAAAGAGCCGGGCGUGGUUCCUCCCAUUUAGUAAACUCCGUAAAUGUUGAUGGAGCCAGAGUGCAAACAGGUAUAAGUUCCUUUGCUUUGCUACGCAGUUCAAUCUAUUUCAAGCCGCGAGUUAGAAGCCAGUCAGUUUAGGGGCGCCUGGGUGGCUCAGUCGGUUAGGUGUCCGACCUCGGCUCGGGUCAAGAUCUCGAGGUUUGUGAGUUCGAGCCCCGCGUCGGGCUCGUGCUGACAGCUCAGAGCCUGGAGCCUGCUUCGGAUUCUGUGUCCCUCUCUCGCUCUGCUGCUCACCUGCUCCUGCUCUUGUGUCUCUCUCUUAAGAAUAAAUAAGACCCGUAAAAGAAAAAAAAUAGAAGCCAGUCCGUUUAGUGUUGUCUGUCUUGCCCAGUGAUACCUCCUCGCUCCAGCAGGGCAGGGGGACAAGGGUGACCGUCUUCAAUCUCUGUUGGCAUCUGCUGAGUCUUCCGUAUUGCCGUCUCGCUUCUGGUCAGGUGCCCACACCUGCCACGGCCAGAACGGCCUUCCUUCCUGAGAAGACAUUCCACAUCCCCCUCCUGUCUCUGGGCUUCUGGAAAUUUCUCCACAGAAAGUCCCGUUGUCCUGGGCUAGCUACCGGAGCCCCUGGGAGGCUGUGUGCCCCCUCUGGCUGGACACACCUCUCUAUUCUGCUCUCCCUCCGUGCCGGAGGCUCGCUCUUGCUGUGGGAACAGGGACACUGCUAUUUCAGCUUUGGAAUUCCUUAAAUCUACCUGCUUUAGGGUGGGCUGACGGGGGGUGGGGGUGGCUGUCAAGUUCAUUGAUUUCUUCAGAUGCUCCUCCACCCCCAGGGUCUAUGGAUCUAAUCUCGGAAAGACAGUUUGGCUUUCUGAGCCAAUGUGAACAAAUAUGGCCCCAGCACGUCAUGUCUCCCAGAAGGAGAUUUGGGGACCCGGGCGAUGGGCUCACAAGUACCUUUUCUCUGUCUUUGCUUCCACGUCCUUUCCUGGAGGCAAUGGAUGCCAUAUGUUGGAGCCGCUCAGAAGAUCUCUCUUGAAAAUAAUACACGCUCAGCAAUAUUUAUUGGGUGAUUAACUGGCCUGUGAUCGAGACAGCCACCUGACUGUUUUGGGUUAAAGCAAGUGGAGUGGAAUAGCAUUUCGUAAUGGAUGAAUCACUCAGAUAUAUGCAUUAUCCAACUAUCACUUAAAUACCACAGCAACCCUGCCAAGGAGGUGUUGGUAGCCUCAUACACGAGUUCCCUGAAGUCUCAGAGCGUCUAGGUAACGUGUCUAAUGUCAACGCAGCUGGUAAGGGACAGAUUUGAAUCCAGGAUUUGCCCCUCAGCCCAGGACUCGUCCCCACCUCGAGUGGCAAAAGCCCAGUGGAAACAAAGGUGACCAAAAAAAAAAAAAGAAAAGAAAAAAAAGGCAGGUAAGUGUAACUCUUCAGCCGUUUGUCUCGAAACUUUUGCCGGUCUCUGAUCCAACAUCUGCGGGCUGUUUCUACUUCCUGCUGAGCCCCUUUCCAGAAGGCUCCGUCUGGAAAGGACUCCAAAUUCAGCACUGAAAGCCCAGCUCCUGGUAACCGAAGAUGGUUGGCAAAUGGUCUUUGAACAAACCUCUCUCAUGAAACGCCGGGUCGGUUUCACAAGUACAUAAAAUAACAACGGAAUCAAAGACAUAAACAAGAACAAGCCUGUAAUCGUCACAAAGCGGGCAGGCGUGGGGGAAGGAAGGCGGCUUCUGAUGCUCUCGCCCCUCCUGUUUUCUUUGCAGGCGAGUCCAACGCUCUGGCCAUCUGUUCCUUGUUGUGGGUGGUUAAGUGAAAUGGGCUGCCAAUACAAAUAGCCCCACUUGAGGUUUGUUUGCAUAAAUUGUUUUGAAAGCUUCAUGACGAAUUUUCAGGAUUACUUGCAGUGGUGGGGACCUCGGUGGAGGCGGAAAUAUAAAUUUAGAGAUGCCAGUUGGAAUCUAUUAAUUUCCUUGAAGCCCAUCGCCCUGGCUCUGCUGCUCAACUGGCUGUGUGACCUUGGGCAGGUGAAUUAGCCUCUCUGGUCUUUAGGCUCCCCAUCUGCUCGAUGGGAGGUGAUAGGCAUUGUGGACACCUCGUGGGACAAUGAAUUUGAAACAAGAUGAGGCAGACGAAAUGCUUAGCGCGGGGAUCGGCGCGCGGCGCGAGCUCGGGAAAGGAAGCGAUCGGAGCCUUUCUGCUGAAAUGAGAGGAAGGGUGGCCCCAUUUGGUGCUCAGAGGCAGACAGCCCUGGGGUGGUGGGCCAGCUACGUGACACACUAGCUGGGUGACCUUGGGAAACAUAGCUUCUCUCUGAACCUCGGGUUUUAAAUUCGGGGAAUGGGGCUAAUCAUGGGUCAUGAAGGCUACACGAGGCCACGUGCAAAGCACAGAGCACGAUGUCAAGUGUUCACAACGGCUGCCACGGUGAUUAUUCCACGAAGACCAUGGCUAGGCUACCGCUGGCUUGGGUUUGGGCUCUUUACUCUCUAGGCCUGGGAUGGUGCACCCCCGUUCCGUCCCCUGUGCCUUCUCUGUUGCUUCCGAUCUUGGUUGGAGCCACCCGGAGUGCAGUUUGUUCAGAAGGAGCGAGACGGGGGCGCGGCUAGGAGGGGAGGCACAGGAGUGUCACAGGGGUACUUGACGGCCGUGCUCUGGACUCUGGCAGGGAAGACAUUAAGGCCACCGCCUGUGCAUGCUCGGCUGAUAAAGAAAGAAGACGCACAGAGCGAGGUGGAGAGAGGGAGACACAGCGCAGAACAGCCCGCGGCCAAAUGUCGCCAAGCUUGCGCUGGAUUCCGGACCCCCCCCCCCCCCCGGUGCUGCUGGCGUCUCAUGGCGCACGGCGAGGGGUCUCCAGGGAGAGCCCAUUUUAGGGGACCCAGAGAGAGAAACGAGAACACGCCCGCAGCCCGCCUGAGGAUCCGGGGACACCACCCUCCGAGAGCACAGAAGAGAGAGUUUUAGGUGUUUGCUGUCACGGUGAAGCGGAAGAGAGAGAGCGAGAGAGAAUCCCAAGCAGGCUCUCUGCUGUCAGCACAGAGCCCAGCACAGAGCUCGAUCUCACGAACCAUGAGAUCGUGACCCGAGCCAAAAUUAAGAGUCAGGUGCGGGGCUGAGACUGAGCCACCCAGGCGCCCCUAAAAGUAAAAUGUUUUCGUAGGAACUGGCAGGAAGUAAAUGCUCAAUAACACACGAGUCAUUUUGAUCAUUAUCAUUUGUUACUUUCAUUAGCCCUUAUGCUCUAGGGUUUGACAGGUACCCCUUAAUAACCAGUUAAUGCGUUCUGUGUGAAAGAUACUCAGCCUCUCAGGCACGGAAUAAUUCUGAUCUCCGCUCCCAAGAAGGUCAUUUCUUUAUCUGCUGUUUUUACGUCGUUAACGGCAACGUGCAUCUUCUCUGAGUGUUUGUUUAACCACAAGUGUCAGUCUUUGGGGGUUACCGUGGACCUGAACUGGACCCACUAGAAAUGAGCUACAC
This is a long non-coding RNA of Acinonyx jubatus (cheetah), 4972 nucleotides long. RefSeq lists it as uncharacterized. The transcript has 5 exons. The record is from RefSeq and is a predicted model, not a curated record. NCBI's taxonomy places the organism in Eukaryota, Metazoa, Chordata, Mammalia, Carnivora, Felidae.